This 254-nucleotide ribosomal RNA is filed under the name uncultured bacterium. RNAcentral describes it as "partial 16S ribosomal RNA". It matches the Rfam family "Bacterial small subunit ribosomal RNA", at positions 524 to 776 of the family's 1533-position model. The record is from RNAcentral.
GACGGAGGGUGCUAGCGUUGUUCGGAAUUACUGGGCGUAAAGGGCGCGUAGGCGGCCCUGUCAGUCGGGUGUGAAAGCCCGGGGCUCAACCCCGGAACGGCACCCGAGACGGCAGGGCUGGAGACCGGGAGAGGAGGGUGGAAUAGCCAGUGUAGAGGUGAAAUUCGUAGAUAUUGGCUGGAACACCGGUGGCGAAAGCGGCUACUCUGGCCCGGUUCUGACGCUGAGGCGCGAAAGCGUGGGGAGCAAACAGG